CGGUAAUUCCAGCUCCAAUAGCGUAUACUAAAGUUGUUGCAGUUAAAAAGCUCGUAGUUGGAUUUCUGCGGGGACGGAGCGGCCGGACGCAACUUGCGUCUCGAGCUAGCGCUUUCCCCGCAUCCUGCCGCGAACCGUGCUACCAUUAGCUUGGUGGCGCUGGGGAUCGGCUCGAUUACUUUGAGAAAAAUAGAGUGUUCAAAGCAGGCCACACGCCUUGAAUAAGUUAGCAUGGAAUAAUGACUAAGGACUUCGGUUCUAUUUUGUUGGUGUUCGGGACUGAAGUAAUGAUUGAUAGGGACAGUUGGGGCGGUCUGUAUUCCAAAGCGAGAGGUGAAAUUCUUAGACCUUCGGAAGACAAACAGCUGCGAAAGCGUUCCGCAAGGAUGUUCCCUUUGAUCAAGAACGAAAGUUGGGGGAUCGAAGACGAUCAGAUACCGUCGUAGUCUCAACUAUAAACUAUACCAGCUAGGGAUCGGUCAACGUUUAAUCAUUCGACCUGAUCGGCACCUUAUGAGAAAUCAAAGCAUCUGGGUUCCGGGGGGAGUAUGGUCGCAAGGCUGAAACUUAAAGGAAUUGACGGAAGGGCACCACCAGCCGUGGAGCCUGUGGCUUAAUUUGACUCAACACGGGAAAACUUACCAGGUCCAGACAUAGUAAGGAUUGACAGAUUGAUAGCUCUUUCUUGAUUCUGUGGGUGGUGGUGCAUGGCCGUUCUUAGUUGGUGGAGUGAUUUGUCUGGUUAAUUCCGUUAACGAACGAGACCCCAGCCUGCUAAAUAGCGCGGCUGAGCUUUGCUCGGUGCGAGCUUCUUAGAGGGACUAUGAUGCGCGAUAGCACAUGGAAGUUUGGGGCAAUAACAGGUCUGUGAUGCCCUUAGAUGUUCUGGGCCGCACACGGGUUACACUGGCGCCUGCAACGAGCAUAUCAGCUGGCCCGAGAGGGUCUUGGCUAAUCUUUUGAACCGGCGCCGUGCUUGGGAUUGACCAUUGCAAUUGUUGGUCAUGCAACGAGGAAUGCCUUGUAAACGCGAGUCAUCAGCUCGCAUUGAAUACGUCCCUGCCCUUUGUACACACCGCCCGUCGCUCCUACCGAUGAAUGUUCCGAUGAAAUUUUCGGAGAGCGCCAGAGAACGGGGCUCUGCCUUGCAGAUCUGGAGGCUCAAAGUCACUUAAAUCUGAACAUUUCGAGGAAGGAGAAGUCGUAACAAGGUAGCCG
Molecule: ribosomal RNA, 1218 nt
Filed under: uncultured Rhizaria
Lineage: Eukaryota
Description: SSU rRNA
Rfam family: Eukaryotic small subunit ribosomal RNA
Source: RNAcentral